AUCUGUACAGACGGUUAAUGCGUAGGGAGAUCAGUGCGAAGUGUGCAGUCUUUUACGGUACCGUUAGAGAGGAUUUUUGAAGUAAAAGACUACACACAAGCAAAAGAACAGAAGUGACAAACAACAGCCAGCAUUGACUAACGUAACACGUAAUGUAGGAGGUAAUGAGCGGGCGUUAUUUACUAAAAUUAAUAGAUUCUUACAGUCAUAUCUUAUAACUCACUUUUGUUAGCAGGCUAACGGUCGUUCGUUCUUGCAAAGGCUUCAUCACAUCAAGACUAACUAAAAAGAGUGCUUGCCUACAAAAGGAAUGUGCACAAGUUUCAACAGCUUUAUUGCCUGUUAUGGAUUUGGCGUGUCAUGAAUCUAUGGCAGACUCUCUGCAAAUGGAGAGAUCAAGAAGGCUUUGUGAAGUACAGGAGUCAAAUGGAACGUUAUAUUUUGAGCAACGAGAUUGACCACGGUUUCUGCUGCAAGGAAGUGAUGUACUAUAGUCUCUUUGUCACAUCUGUGAAUGUCGGCACAAGAGAAGCAUCUGCUGCAGCAGGUUAAUUGUUUCGGCACUCGCAAUAGCGGUUAUAGCAAAUCAGUGCAAGCCUGGACUGAGUUGACUCAAUUGCUGCAUGGAUGUCGAAGGCAAUCAGUACUGUGCUUCCCUGAACAUAGAAAACGAUGGAAGAGUCCGUCAGAUCAAACAAUUAAUGCUGUCAGUAAAUGUUGCUCGUACGCAAGCCGACAAAAACAAUAACGACCGUGGCGUUGGGCAAUUUUAAUAAAGAACAGACAGUUACAUUAAGGACGAAGUUUGAGCUACAAGUAUAACCGCCGCAUGAGAACACGAAGCGAAAUGAGGACUGCAGUGCAAGAGUUGAACAAAUGGAUUUGAACUUGUGUUCUUGUAUAGACUCUAGCCAGAAUGCUUAGUGCAUGUGUUCUUUGUAGAUUUUUAAAUAAAUCUGUGACGGUAUAUAUCAGCACAAUUAUGUGUCUCGCUGCACACAGAACUGGGUUUACUUAGCAAGGAUGAAGAAUUCGAACCUGAUUAACAAG
Molecule: RNA transcript, 1050 nt
Organism: Corticium candelabrum
Lineage: Eukaryota; Metazoa; Porifera; Homoscleromorpha; Homosclerophorida; Plakinidae
Exons: 3
Source: RefSeq, a predicted model, not a curated record